UAGAGUCUAUGGAAAUCAGGAACAGUUGGUAACUGCUGGCAUGGACGUUACUAUUGCAUUCUGCCGACUGUAGCACAGUAUUUCACUCCUGGCUCUUGUCUGGCAUGUUUCGCCUCUCUGUUUGCCCUCCACAGAUGGAGUAGACUAAGGAGGGAGGUGUAGGAGGCAGUGGGUGCAUUUUGAGAGGCUGGGAAUCUGUUCGCCUCUUUGCAUUCUGCUCACACAUGGUAAAUCCUAUUGUUGCCCACGAUGCUUUGCGUCGUGCUGGUCACCAUGGCAACCCCACAGCACCACGGCAGCCCUGAUGAAGGCUACAGCAGGGACUGACAGUGGGAGAAAACCAGUCAACCCAGAGGAAACCCACUCAAACACAUAGGGAGGACAUGUGAAAUUCUCACAGAAUGUAACAUGAUCUCAGGCCUGAGCCCAGGACACUGGAACUGUGAACUGGCAUUACCACCUAUCAUCCAGCUAUGAAGAGCUGUAGAAAAACAGCACAAACAAAACGAGGUAAUCAUGUCUAUGCACAGUACUUUUUCUUCCUCUGCA
This is a long non-coding RNA of Tachysurus vachellii, 549 nucleotides long. RefSeq lists it as uncharacterized. The transcript is spliced from 3 exons. The record is from RefSeq and is a predicted model, not a curated record. NCBI's taxonomy places the organism in Eukaryota, Metazoa, Chordata, Actinopteri, Siluriformes, Bagridae.